This 19-nucleotide small nuclear RNA is filed under the name Arabidopsis thaliana (thale cress). Its description in RNAcentral is "snRNA_10892". Lineage: Eukaryota; Viridiplantae; Streptophyta; Magnoliopsida; Brassicales; Brassicaceae. The record is from RNAcentral.
CUUUGUUUACCAGUUUGUU